RNAcentral lists this ribosomal RNA (486 nucleotides) under uncultured bacterium. RNAcentral's name for it is "partial 16S ribosomal RNA". It matches the Rfam family "Bacterial small subunit ribosomal RNA", at positions 28 to 507 of the family's 1533-position model. The record is from RNAcentral.
GAUGAACGCUAGCGGCAGGCUUAACACAUGCAAGUCGAGGGGCAGCGCGGGAUAGCAAUAUCCUGGCGGCGACCGGCGGAAGGGUGCGUAACGCGUGAGCGACAUGCCCGUUGCCCGGGGACAACCGGUGGAAACGCCGACUAAUCCCCGAUGGGAUAUUGUGCCGCAUGGCACGAUAUUGAAAGUUACGGCGGCGACGGAUUGGCUCGCGUCCGAUUAGCUUGUUGGCGGGGUAACGGCCCACCAAGGCUGCGAUCGGUAGGGGUUCUGAGAGGAAGGCCCCCCACAAUGGGACUGAGACACGGCCCAUACUCCUACGGGAGGCAUCAGUGAGGAAUAUUGGUCAAUGGGCGGAAGCCUGAACCAGCCAUGCCGCGUGCGGGAAGGAGGCCCUAUGGGCUGUGAACCGCUUUUGCCUGGGGGCAAUAAGGGCGUCGCGCACGUCCGAUGAGAGUACCAGGCGAAUAAGCAUCGGCUAACUCCGUG